UGAGUAACACGUGGGCAAUCUGCCCUUCACUCUGGGACAAGCCCUGGAAACGGGGUCUAAUACCGGAUAUCACUCCUGCAGGCAUCUGCGGGGGUCGAAAGCUCCGGCGGUGAAGGAUGAGCCCGCGGCCUAUCAGCUUGUUGGUGAGGUAGUGGCUCACCAAGGCGACGACGGGUAGCCGGCCUGAGAGGGCGACCGGCCACACUGGGACUGAGACACGGCCCAGACUCCUACGGGAGGCAGCAGUGGGGAAUAUUGCACAAUGGGCGAAAGCCUGAUGCAGCGACGCCGCGUGAGGGAUGACGGCCUUCGGGUUGUAAACCUCUUUCAGCAGGGAAGAAGCGAAAGUGACGGUACCUGCAGAAG
This 366-nucleotide ribosomal RNA is filed under the name Streptomyces yokosukanensis. RNAcentral's name for it is "bacterial SSU rRNA". It matches the Rfam family "Bacterial small subunit ribosomal RNA", at positions 107 to 487 of the family's 1533-position model. The record is from RNAcentral. Lineage: Bacteria; Bacillati; Actinomycetota; Actinomycetes; Kitasatosporales; Streptomycetaceae.